RNAcentral lists this ribosomal RNA (500 nucleotides) under uncultured bacterium. RNAcentral describes it as "partial 16S ribosomal RNA". It matches the Rfam family "Bacterial small subunit ribosomal RNA", at positions 30 to 523 of the family's 1533-position model. The record is from RNAcentral.
AUUGAACGCUGGCGGAAUGCUUUACACAUGCAAGUCGAACGGCAGCACGGACUUCGGUCUGGUGGCGAGUGGCGAACGGGUGAGUAAUGUAUCGGAACGUGCCCAGUCGUGGGGGAUAACGUAGUGAAAAUUACGCUAAUACCGCAUACGAUCUAUGGAUGAAAGCGGGGGAUCGCAAGACCUUGCGCGAUUGGAUCGGCCGAUAUCAGAUUAGGUAGUUGGUGGGGUAAAGGCCCACCAAGCCAACCAUCUGUAGCUGGUCUGAGAGGACGACCAGCCACACUGGAACUGAGACACGGUCCAGACUCCUACGGGAGGCAGCAGUGGGGAAUUUUGGACAAUGGGCGAAAGCCUGAUCCAGCCAUUCCGCGUGCAGGAUGAAGGCCCUCGGGUUGUAAACUGCUUUUGUACAGAACGAAAAGGUUUCUACUAAUACUAGGAGCUCAUGACGGUACUGUAAGAAUAAGCACCGGCUAACUACGUGCCAGCCGCCGCAGUAA